UACGAAGGGGGCUAGCGUUGUUCGGAAUUACUGGGCGUAAAGCGCACGUAGGCGGGUUGUUAAGUCAGGGGUGAAAUCCCGGAGCUCAACUCCGGAACUGCCUUUGAUACUGGCAAUCUAGAGACUGGAAGAGGUUAGUGGAAUUCCCAGUGUAGAGGUGAAAUUCGUAGAUAUUGGGAAGAACACCAGUGGCGAAGGCGCGGUGCUGGACCUCAUCUGACGCUGAGGCGCGAAAGCCAGGGGAGCGAACGGG
RNAcentral lists this ribosomal RNA (253 nucleotides) under uncultured bacterium. RNAcentral's name for it is "partial 16S ribosomal RNA". It matches the Rfam family "Bacterial small subunit ribosomal RNA", at positions 524 to 776 of the family's 1533-position model. The record is from RNAcentral.